AUAUUACUUGUAGCAAUACAAGUGAUGCUUAGUGGCGUAAGGGUGCGUAACACGUGGGCAACCUGCCGAGAAGUGGGGGAUAGCUCGCCGAAAGGCGAAUUAAUACCGCAUGUGGUUAGGAAAGACAUCUUUCCGACACCAAAGCCGGGGCAACCUGGCGCUUCUUGAUGGGCCCGCGGCCUAUCAGCUAGUUGGUGAGGUAACGGCUCACCAAGGCUAUGACGGGUAGCUGGUCUGAGAGGACGACCAGCCACACUGGAACUGAGACACGGUCCAGACACCUACGGGUGGCAGCAGUCGAGAAUUUUUCUCAAUGGGGGAAACCCUGAAGGAGCGACGCCGCGUGGAGGAUGAAGGUCUUCGGAUUGUAGACUCCUGUCAUUGGGGAACAAGGUGCACACGUUAACUGCGUGUGCAUUGAUAGUACCUGAAGAGGAAGAGACGGCUAACUCUGUGCCAGCAGCCGCGGUAAUACAGAGGUCUCAAGCGUUGUUCGGAUUCAUUGGGCGUAAAGGGUGCGUAGGUGGCGCCGUAAGUCAGGUGUGAAAUCUCGGGGCUCAACCCCGAAACUGCACUUGAUACUGCGGUGCUCGAGUACUGGAGAGGAGAUUGGAAUUUACGGUGUAGCAGUGAAAUGCGUAGAUAUCGUAAGGAAGACCAGUGGCGAAGGCGAAUCUCUGGACAGUUACUGACACUGAGGCACGAAGGCCAGGGGAGCAAACGGGAUUAGAUACCCCGGUAGUCCUGGCAGUAAACGGUGCGCGUUUGGUGUGGGAGGAUUCGACCCCUUCUGUGCCGGAGCUAACGCGUUAAACGCG
This 818-nucleotide ribosomal RNA is filed under the name uncultured Verrucomicrobiae bacterium. RNAcentral's name for it is "bacterial SSU rRNA". It matches the Rfam family "Bacterial small subunit ribosomal RNA", at positions 67 to 868 of the family's 1533-position model. Lineage: Bacteria; Pseudomonadati; Verrucomicrobiota; Verrucomicrobiia. The record is from RNAcentral.